This 253-nucleotide ribosomal RNA is filed under the name uncultured bacterium. RNAcentral's name for it is "partial 16S ribosomal RNA". It matches the Rfam family "Bacterial small subunit ribosomal RNA", at positions 524 to 776 of the family's 1533-position model. The record is from RNAcentral.
UACGUAGGUGGCAAGCGUUGUCCGGAUUUAUUGGGCGUAAAGGGCGCGCAGGCGGUUCGUUUAGUCCGAGGUGAAAUCUCCCGGCUCAACUGGGAGGGGUCUUUGGAUACUGGCGGACUUGAGGUGAGCAGAGGUGAGCGGAAUUCUGGGUGUAGUGGUGAAAUGCGUAGAUAUCCAGAGGAACACCAGUGGCGAAGGCGGCUCACUGGGCUCCACCUGACGCUGAGGCGCGAAAGCUAGGGGAGCAAACGGG